RNAcentral lists this long non-coding RNA (1517 nucleotides) under Ananas comosus (pineapple). RNAcentral describes it as "long non-coding RNA (ACOM_LNC006581)". The record is from RNAcentral. Lineage: Eukaryota; Viridiplantae; Streptophyta; Magnoliopsida; Poales; Bromeliaceae.
AAUAGUUUUAACCACUAUAUUAUCAAAUAAGGUCAGAAGAGUUUAUAUUUUGUUUUUUUUAAGAGGAAAAGAUAAUACGCAACCUGCUUCGCUUAUUUUUUAAAAAAUAAACUUAGCUGAAAAUGAGAAUCAAUUAUAAUUCGAACUAGAGAUCUCAGAUACUAAUCAUUAAAUUUUUNCCGGUAGGGCGGGGUGGAUCGCAUUGUUGGUCGAACAAGAGGAGACGACAGACGGGCCGGAGAGAAUGACGGUAGGGUUUUUCCCGUCGGUGACGAAGAUCGUGAUCGGGGUCAAGGUUAGGGUUAAGUAGUCCCCGUAGGGACAUUUGUCGGUCGUGGGGGCCGACCGAUACGCGGUGCACGUGCAGGGGUAGUGCCCAGCGUCACCGCCGCCCCCCGAGAGGCGAGUGCAUUGACAGGGGCCGGCGGCGGCGCAUUGCAGGGAGCUGCAAAGUGUGGUUGGAUGGUUGGAAGGACAAGAAGACCAUAAGGUGGGGGUGGUGAGGUCUAUGACAUAUUGGCUAUUGAAGUUUAGAGUGAGAGUGUAGAGAGAGGAGGGGGAGUGUUUGUGUAUGGGGGCUACAAGGGUAUUUAUGGGAAUGGCAUGGGCAAAAGUGGGAGGGAGUGAAGUGGAGAUGAUAAAAAGGAGGAAGGUGGUAAGGGUGAGUAAGAGAGGAGAGUAAUGAGAUUGAGACAUCUUGAUGAUAAGGGUGGGAGGAAUUAGGGAGUCAUAUAUAGAGGGGAGAAUAUUAAUAUUUAUGCCUAGAUGAGGGUGGUGAGAUUGUUGAUGGUGAUUAAGUUGUGAAAAUGUAAAUAUUAAAAGAAUUACUGUUUUCGAACAGCUUAAGUUUACGAAAAAUAUUGAAAGGUACGUAGGUGGAACAAUCUGGUCUUAUCACAUUUAACCCUCCAAAAUCAGCAUUUCAUGCGUGAUAAUAUAGGGGAUAUAUCUUGUAUUGGAUGGAAAGAGCCAAAUUAACUAUACAACUACAUAUAUCUAUACAUAAAGAAAAACGAAAGUCAAAAGUAAUGCAUGUGCACAAUUUGUAGCUUUUAAUCCCCAAGUCAUUGACAUCUAUUAGGGCGGAAACAUGAGUACAGAAUAUGGGCCUACUUUAAUAAUAUAGUGGUUAAAAACAUAAUUAGACAGUCUAAAAAAUUCAAAAGUACUUUUAAAUUUUUUAUACUAUAAAAUUACAGUUACAAUCGAUGGUGGUGAUUCCAACCGUAAUUUAAAAUACUAGAAGAGAGAAAAACUAGUAAGCGAUUUAAAAUUUUUUAAAUUUUUUAUAGUAUAAAAAUAAUAGUUUUAACCACUAUAUUAUCAAAUAAGGUCAAAAAAGUUUAUAUUUUGUUUUUUUUUAGAGAGAAAGAUAGUACGCAAUCUGCUUCGCUUAUUUUUUUAGAAAUAAAUUUAGCUAAAAAUAUGAAUCAAUUAUAAUUUGAACUAAAGAUCUCAGAUACUAGCCAUUAAAUUUUGUACUACUUACAUUAGGUACGGUCAGUAUAAGAGUUUAU